RNAcentral lists this ribosomal RNA (484 nucleotides) under uncultured bacterium. Its description in RNAcentral is "partial 16S ribosomal RNA". It matches the Rfam family "Bacterial small subunit ribosomal RNA", at positions 30 to 507 of the family's 1533-position model. The record is from RNAcentral.
AUUGAACGCUGGCGGCAGGCCUAACACAUGCAAGUCGAGCGGAUGAAGGGAGCUUGCUCCUGGAUUCAGCGGCGGACGGGUGAGUAAUGCCUAGGAAUCUGCCUGGUAGUGGGGGAUAACGUCCGGAAACGGGCGCUAAUACCGCAUACGUCCUGAGGGAGAAAGUGGGGGAUCUUCGGACCUCACGCUAUCAGAUGAGCCUAGGUCGGAUUAGCUAGUUGGUGGGGUAAAGGCCUACCAAGGCGACGAUCCGUAACUGGUCUGAGAGGAUGAUCAGUCACACUGGAACUGAGACACGGUCCAGAAUCCUAAGGGAGGCAGCAGUGGGGAAUAUUGGACAAUGGGCGAAAGCCUGAUCCAGCCAUGCCGCGUGUGUGAAGAAGGUCUUCGGAUUGUAAAGCACUUUAAGUUGGGAGGAAGGGCAGUAAGUUAAUACCUUGCUGUUUUGACGUUACCAACAGAAUAAGCACCGGCUAACUUCGUG